GACGAACGCUGGCGGCGUGCUUAACACAUGCAAGUCGAACGGAAAGGCCCUGCUUUUGUGGGGUGCUCGAGUGGCGAACGGGUGAGUAACACGUGAGUAACCUGCCCUUGACUUUGGGAUAACUUCAGGAAACUGGGGCUAAUACCGGAUAGGAGCUCCUGCUGCAUGGUGGGGGUUGGAAAGUUUCGGCGGUUGGGGAUGGAUUCGCGGCUUAUCAGCUUGUUGGUGGGGUAGUGGCUUACCAAGGCUUUGACGGGUAGCCGGCCUGAGAGGGUGACCGGCCACAUUGGGACUAAGAUACGGCCCAGACUCCUACGGGAGGCAGCAGUGGGGAAUAUUGCACAAUGGGCGGAAGCCUGAUGCAGCAACGCCGCGUGCGGGAUGACGGCCUUCGGGUUGUAAACCGCUUUCGCCUGUGACGAAGCGUGAGUGACGGUAAUGGGUAAAGAAGCACCGGCUAACUACGUG
This 468-nucleotide ribosomal RNA is filed under the name uncultured bacterium. Its description in RNAcentral is "partial 16S ribosomal RNA". It matches the Rfam family "Bacterial small subunit ribosomal RNA", at positions 28 to 507 of the family's 1533-position model. The record is from RNAcentral.